CGGCCCAGGGCUGGGCCCGGGCCCUCGGAUGUGCAGCGCUCCGCUGGGCGCCUUCCCGAGUCCCGGCCCGGACAGCACGCGCCGAGCGCCCAGCCGCCGCCCUCUCCCCUUUCCCCGCCCUCCCGCCCGCGCCUCUCCGCCCGCCUGCCCUCGUGGUCCCCGCGCUCCGCUGCCCUCGGGAUGCACUCGCCCCGCAGCGCGCCAGCCUCCUGGGGUCAGGUGCUUCCCCCCGAGGUUCGAGUCCCCGCUGGCCCUGGACCCCUCGCGUCACUGCCCCAGGCGCCAACGUGCCACGUAAAGGCUCCACGCUCCGCUGCCGCGGGGCCGCACGCACCACGCGCCCGGUCUUGUGCUUCUCCCUGGAGGUCCGAGUGCGCCGUUGCCCUUGGGCCCCUCGUGCCACUGCGGGCCAGGGACUGCACGCGCCUUGCGGCGUCAACUUCUUAGGGACAGCACGUGCCGCGCCAGGUGCCUUUCCCUCCAAGUCCCUGUGCGCCACCAGCCCGGAGUCCGCGUGGCCCAGCUGCCAGCACCUCCAGCCGACGCGGGGCACUCGGACCGGGUCCUGGGGUCCCGAGCCGGCUGAGAGCGACGCCUCACCUCGGAACUGGAUCAGCUGGGCCUUAUGCGCCCCUCCGUGGAGGCGCUGUCCCCAUCAGAACGCUGUGAGUCGGAGGCAGAUGUUGGGGUGACCUGUGGACAGAGGACCCGAGACACUGGUGGAGACCAUGAGUGUGAUAAACGCCAAGGAGCAACGUAUAGCCUGUGAGAAUGGCAGACACGUCGCUGGAGGAGGGCGGAGACGGUACCACGUUCUGCUGGCUCCAUGGACUGACUUACCCAGAGCCCGACUGAUAGAUACUGACUGGAAGCCGGGCCACUGUCUGCAGCCGAUAGUGUAUACACCUGGGACCGUAGAGGCCACUGUGCAAGGACAUGGGGCAUGCCUUCUGAGAAUGCAGCCAACACAGAGGAUGACAGAGACCAGACAUGGCCAGAGACAAAUUCCUGAUUAUAUCAUGAACACCUGGAUCCAGCCAUGCUUGAAGGUUGCAAGUAUGGCUUAGUACAGCAGACGGAUGCAGGACCUGUAAGAAGGAAAGUUGUUUCCAGUGUCCCCAAAACCAUGUUCUCCAAGGCACGUCCAUCGUGGGCUCUUCUCCAUCCUUCCAUCCGCUCGGACACCAGCUGCCUUUCUUUUCAUUCAUUCAUUUCAUGUAUCCCCCAAACAUGGGGGGUUUGAUGCCUAUGAUGUGUCAGGCGCAAAUGGAUGAACAUGCACCUGAUAUUCUACAUGAAUGCAUUCAGUCUUCACCACAGCACUGUGACGAAGGUACACUGCUCCCAUUUUACCGACAUGGAAUCUAAGACUCUGAGAAAUAAAAGAGACAGAGAUACCAGAUUUAAGUGGUGGAGCUUGGAUGAACCCUCUUUUUCUCCAAUUGUCUUACACAUGCAUCUUAUCUACCAGCUAUUAUAGCAGUUUCUGGAAAAGCAGAAGUUGGUGUCUUAUAUUUUGAGGGAAAGAGGUAGUGAGGCCUCCAGUGGGCUCUCAGGAAUAAACAACUAAAACCUCA
Long non-coding RNA from Aethalodelphis obliquidens (Pacific white-sided dolphin), 1577 nucleotides. RefSeq lists it as uncharacterized. Lineage: Eukaryota; Metazoa; Chordata; Mammalia; Artiodactyla; Delphinidae. The record is from RefSeq and is a predicted model, not a curated record. The transcript has 5 exons.